RNAcentral lists this ribosomal RNA (472 nucleotides) under Isopisthus parvipinnis (bigtooth corvina). RNAcentral describes it as "partial 16S ribosomal RNA". It matches the Rfam family "Bacterial large subunit ribosomal RNA", at positions 1924 to 2551 of the family's 2925-position model. The record is from RNAcentral. Lineage: Eukaryota; Metazoa; Chordata; Actinopteri; Sciaenidae.
UUAACGGCCGCGGUAUUUUGACCGUGCAAAGGUAGCGCAAUCACUUGUCUUUUAAAUGAAGACCCGUAUGAAUGGCAAGACGAGGGCUUAGCUGUCUCCUUUUUCAAGUCAAUGAAAUUGAUCUCCCCGUGCAGAAGCGGGGAUUCUGACAUAAGACGAGAAGACCCUAUGGAGCUUCAGACACCAAGACAGACCACGUCAAAGCCCCCUAACAAAGGACCGAACUAAGUGGACCCUGUCCUAAUGUCUUUGGUUGGGGCGACCACGGGGAAAUACAAAACCCCCGCGUGGAAUGGGAGCACCCUCCUACAACUGAGAGCUUCCGCUCUAAUAAACAGAACUUCUGACCAACAAGAUCCGGCAAAGCCGAUCAACGAACCGAGUUACCCUAGGGAUAACAGCGCAAUCCUCUUUUAGAGCCCAUAUCGACAAGAGGGUUUACGACCUCGAUGUUGGAUCAGGACAUCCUAAU